CCACUAUUUGAGAAACACUGCUUUAGCCAAUAUAUUAAACUGUUGUACCGAGAUUGUUAAACAACUGCUCUCUCAAAGCUAAGAUUGAAGUUCUUUCAUGAGGUCUCAUCAUGCUGGUGAAGGUGAAUUAUCUUCAGGUGAAGAAAUACAUCAAAUUGCAAGAUGGGUUCACAUUUGAGGAGUUUCUAAACGAAGGUAAAUUUGAAUUUAAUUAUGUGUUGGAUAAUGUUUCAGCUGAUUCAAAAAGUUAAUUUUAUUGACAUUUCAUAACCCAAUUUAUCUUGUUUUAGUAAAAAAAAAAAUUUGGGCUUACAGCAAACGAUGCACUUCAAGUCUUUGAUGAGACAAAUACUAAUGUGGAGGAAGAUAUUUUUCAAGAGUUGGUUCAGAGCAACCCACAGAUAUGCUUCACAGUAAAAUGUCCUCCACAAGGACUUUUGCUGAUCUGGAUGUUUCUGGUGGUAUUACAUUUUUUCUGAAAUGACUAAAUAACUUUAUAAAAUUUUUGAUAAUUAAUCAAUGUUGGUCUCCCCUUUUUUUUAAAAAAAAAAAAGAAUUUUCACCCACAGCUUACCUCAACACCAAGUACAUGCACUGAUCCACUUUCAAACUCCAGUGAUGUAGAACGGUUGGAGAGAACCCAGCUGAGUCGGUCUGCAAGCUCAUACUUUAAUAAUGGCAGAGAAAUCACAAGUGCUGAAAAAUCAAAACAGAUUGUUCAAAAUGCCCUGAAAGAGAAACCUGGUGGUUUGGAUGUUGUCGAAGAAUAUGAGCUAACUAAAACACUGAAGCACAGCACGAGACGACAGCUUGUUAAUGUUCUUGUUAGCCAUAUGACAGAGGUUCAUGGGAGGAUUCCCACACUUAAACAGAGAGAGACGUAUGUCUCAGGCAUUGUUUCUCUUUUCCCUGCUCUAAGAGACCCAUAUUCAUCGAAGGACUAUGAACAUUUUUAUGAUCCAGAGAAGGGAACAGGAUUUAUUGCUUGGUGGCUUAAAACUCUGUCAAUCCAAAACGUGUUUACUUGAUGUCUCAUAAGACUAGAGGACCAAGUCGUCGAAGAGAAAUAGAGGACAUUGAACAACUUGAUGGAGAUGCAUGCAGAGAAGCCAUUUCACUCCUUCUCCACACCGCUGAUGAGACUGAAGUUAGGCAAAAGAUGAAGCAAACCUUUAAGCAUCGGCAAGAGCUCGUUCAUAACCCGGAAAGGUCAACUGACAUCUUAAAAAUGUUUCCAAGAUUUUUAGAAGUAAAAGGGUUGUUAAAUCAAGACUUUAUUUUGCUGUUCAGUGCUGAAACAUCUGCAAAAUUGCUUGAGCAGUGGGAGAUGGCAUUCAAGCCAAAAGUCAUUGAAGAAGCAAAGUCUCUCACUUUGACAGCAGAACUUCAAAGUCACAUCAGUGCAGCAGAGAAACAACAGUCUGAACACGUCCUGUACCAGCACUGAAGAACAUCUCAUGGGAAGAGAAGGCCACCAACCAUACCUACUUGCAGUAGGACGAACCAAGAAGACGAUUGACAAUUUUGAUGUCGUUGUUGACAAGCAGCUCAUCCCCUGUGCAGGAGCCACCUCCCUGAGUGCCAUAGAUGAACUUUUCAAAG
Polypterus senegalus (gray bichir) is the source of this 1602-nucleotide long non-coding RNA. RefSeq lists it as uncharacterized. Lineage: Eukaryota; Metazoa; Chordata; Cladistia; Polypteriformes; Polypteridae. The record is from RefSeq and is a predicted model, not a curated record. The transcript is spliced from 6 exons.